AAUGGGUGGUAAAUGCCAUCUAAGGCUAAAUAUUGGGGAGAGACCGAUAGCGAACAAGUACAGUGAUGGAAAGAUGAAAAGAACUUUGAAAAGAGAGUUAAACAGUACGUGAAAUUGCCAAAAGGGAAGGGUAGGAGGUCAGAGAUGCGUCUUGGGAUUCAGCCUUGCUUUUUGCAUGGUGUUUUUCCCAAGUUGCAGGCCAACGUCGGUUUUGGGCACUGGAGAAGGGUGGAAGGAACGUGGCACCUCUCGGGGUGUGUUAUAGCCUUCUACUGGAUACAGCGACC
This 287-nucleotide ribosomal RNA is filed under the name Pseudozyma flocculosa. Its description in RNAcentral is "Anthracocystis flocculosa partial large subunit ribosomal RNA". It matches the Rfam family "Eukaryotic large subunit ribosomal RNA", at positions 291 to 583 of the family's 3401-position model. Lineage: Eukaryota; Fungi; Basidiomycota; Ustilaginomycetes; Ustilaginales; Ustilaginaceae. The record is from RNAcentral.